UAAACAAAUUCACAAUAUACAAUACCGAGUACGAAAGGUAAUUGUAAUUGCCCAUAAAAUAAUUAUUAAUAGUCAUUACAUAAAUUUAAAUAUCCUAUAUUUAACCACAAAAUGUGUCAUGCACCUUAAUAUCUUAGUUACAAAUGUAUCCUAGACUUUUAGUACAAAUGGUGCAUAAACUAAACGAAAAAUGAGCUAUAGACUAGGAAAUUAUGAGGAACGAACUUCACCACUGCCAGCUCCAAUCACAAACAAAUCAAAGUCCUUGUGAAUCUCCUACUCACUAGCAAUGCCUAGCUUUCCAUAAAAAGCAUCUUCCUUGUCAUAAUGUUAUGCUAUACACAAACAAAAUCCACAGGCAAGCAAUAAGAGAUCAGCAUAUCAUAACAAGCACUUUCACAACCAAGAAAAUCAAAAAAAAUAAAACAAAGACCAGAUCAAAUGUAAAUCGAGAUAAACUAAUAGCACAAUUUUAUAAGAAAAAUGUUGUCGAUUUUGGGGGAAAGUAAAUAAGAACAACCAAUGUAAUAGUUUAAUCUUUCAUUUUUUUUUUAAUUUUAUCCAUGAUUGCUUAAACCCAGUAAAGAGGGAAAAAAAUAAGAUUACAACCAAUAUAAUAGUUUACUCUUUCCUUUUUUAUCAUAUGACCAGGUUGAUAGCUCUUCAUUAACAAUCCACCUGCACACAAGAAACACCUAUCUAAAGUUUGGCAUUCAUUUAAAAUUUGGAAAUUGCAUAAGCCGUUACGAAUGCAUACCUAUAAAAUCUAUUUUGUUGAUUCUGUUUUCUCCGUCUCUCCAUUUGCGAGUUGGAACAAUCUCGUAUAGUUCUCUCACGACCUGCCAUAGUCAAUAGACCAUAUCAG
Molecule: long non-coding RNA, 865 nt
Filed under: Olea europaea subsp. europaea
Lineage: Eukaryota; Viridiplantae; Streptophyta; Magnoliopsida; Lamiales; Oleaceae
Source: RNAcentral